AGUAUGAGAAAACCACCAUGCUACGUAUCGAUAUGUUGAUGGCCAUCAUUUUAUUGUUUGGCUUGUCUCUCCACCUCAAUGGUGUUGCUCAGCUCUCUGCAGUUGCUCCCCCUAACUCUUGGAAAAUUUCAAAUAUGCAGCUGCAGCGCAUUAACAUGCACAACGUAUCUAGUAUCCUUCCUAUUCUUGACCAUAGAAUCAUGUCAUAUAGAACUUAUUUUGGCUUCUAUGCCAUAGAUGGUCAUUCAUUCAUUCUCUCUAUUGUGAUUUUUGGACCCCAAGCUCCAGUCAUCUGGUCUGCCAACCCUGACAAUCCUGUAAACUGCGACACCAUCUUAAAGUUCACUAGAGAAGAGGAUUUGCAGCUCCGCUGGAUGUAUACCCUUAAGUAGCCCUUCCUGCAACCAAGCACACAACAACCAGCUAAUACAAGUCAACAAUGUUUCUUACUUCAGUAACAGUGCAUUCUUGUUAUUAGCAAGUUCAACUUCUGAAAAUGUUUGCAAGCGAUCAUGCUUAACUGAUUGCGAUUGCAAAGCAGUGGUUUUUCCAAAAGAACGUUUACGGUAGUGAUGGUGGUUACUGCUUGUUGCUAUCUGACAGCAUGGCAAUUUUGUUUGCAGACAAUUCAUCAAAUCGUUUUUCAGCAUUUGUAAAGAUAGAAGGUAAUCACUCAGAAAAAAGGAGAACAAUUAUUAUUGUUGUUGGUUCAAUUGCAGGAUUUUGUCUAAUAUCUGUCUUGGUUUGCAUGGCUGUAUGGAAGAAAUACAAGAAAAACGAGGAACCACCUUUGAUGUCAUACCUGGAAUACCAAAGCGUUUCUCCUUUCAUGAGUUAGAAGUUUCUACUGGCCACUUCUGUAUAAAGCUGGGAGGUGGUGGCUUUGGGUCCGUAUUCAAAGGCAAGAUAGGCAGGCAAACUAUUGCUGUCAAACGCUUGGAGGGUCUCGAGCAAGGAAUGGAAGAGUUCUUAGCAGAGGUCAAGACAAUUGGCAGAAUUCAUCACUUUAAUCUCAUAAGGUUGGUUGCUUCUUGUCUACGAAUACUCGUCCAAUGGCUCGUUAGACAAAUGGAUCUUUCCCAAAAGUACAGUCUUCACUCUCUCUUGGAAAACUAGACGUGAUAUCAUAUUGGGCAUUGCUAGGGGUUUAUCCUACCUUCACGAAGAACGUGAGCAAAGGAUUGCUCAUUUGGAUAUCAAGCCACAGAAUAUUCUCUUGGAUGACAAAUUCAGUGCUAAGAUCUCAGAGUUUGGACUCUCAAAAAUGAUAAACAGGGAUCAAAGCAAAGUCAUGACUAGAAUGCGAGGAACACGUGGUUAUCUUGCACCUGAAUGGCUGGGUUCAAAAAUCACAGAGAAGGCUGACAUUUACAGCUUUGGGAUUGUGAUGAUCGAAAUCAUAUGUGGUCGAGAAAAUUUGGAUGAAUCACUACCCGAGGAGAACAUCCAUUUGAUAAGCCUGCUUCAAGAGAAGGCACGGUUUGGCCAGUUGUCUGAUUUGGUGGACAGUAGCAGCAAUGACAUGGGAUUGCAUAUGCAAGUGGUCGUGGAAGCGAUGAAGCUUGCUAUGUGGUGCUUGCAGGUUGAUAGCAGCAGAAGACCCUUGAUGUCAACAAUCGCCAAAGUGUUGGAAGGUGUGAUGAGCAUGGAGGAAAUACCUGACUGCACUUUGGUCCCUAGUUUUGCAUCAAACAAUACCGUGGGAGCAGGUUCUUCUUAUCUUCCUUCUGAGUCAUAUUUAUCAGGGCCUAGGUGAUACCGGUUAAAGCCUCCAACUGAGAGUAAACUUUCAAUCAGGAUAAAAGGUGUUCUUUUUUGUCUCAGUUGGAUUUUUUAAUAGUGAUAAAAACUCAUCCCCCAUUAUAUACCAAGACAGAGGCAUUUCUUCCUCCCCAGCCCGAGCCAGUCCACCACAAAGAUGGUGCCGAAGCAAGAGAGGUGCUGCCCGAAUUUUUUUCCCUCAUUUUCGUGGGAAUUUCACUCAUGCAAAGUGUUGUGAAGGUUUCCUACUUCAUCCUCGUAUUACGCUUUGAUUUAUGCUUUGGAGAUGGAUAGUUUAUUUGCUAGAAUGUGAAGUAGAAAAUGGAGAGAUAUUUUGAGCUAGAAUGUGAGGAUGAUCGAUGUGUCAUAUAUAGUAUGUAUCUUUGCUGUGGUUUAAAAAUAAUGCUACCCUUGUCUAGACGGUUUUGUUUUGUAAAAUUCAAUAUGGUUUUUCAAAUCCAUACUUGUUGAACUUGCAUACCAUGUUCAUCUCAGCGAGAAUGUUCUCCGCCGAGCAGCAACGUAUGUCAAGGAGGAGGUCCGAUUCUACGAGAAAGAGUGGAUACGGACAUCGUGGAAGACCGUGUCCCCUUUUUCAUAGAAUUGAAUCUCUUCCAUGACGAAGCGCGGUGCUGCCCAGUUGAGAACAUGCUCGCAAGAUGAUCACGGUCUUCAAGUUCAACAAGUUCUGUAGGCAUACCGUAUUCAUCUCGGUAAGCAUGUUCUCCGUGGAGCAGCAACGGACGUUAAGGAGGAGCUUUGAUUUUACAAGAAAGAGCGGCAACAACCUUUCUCGUAAAAUCGUAAAAUCGAAGCUCUUCCAUGACGAAGUACGGUACCGCCUAGUUGAGAACAUGCUUGCCGAGAUGAUCACGGUCUUCAAGUUCAACAAGUUCUGCAGUGCUAAGAUAAGAAUUUUUGUACAUAGAUGGCUUCUACUACUGGAGGAAGUGGUGAUGGUGGGGGCGAUCAUCGUUCCUCUUCCGGCAAGGGGAAAUUCAAGUUGGCUCUCAUGAUAAGCCAAUGAAAAUGAGCACGUUGGAGAAAGCAAUGCUUUGUUAUUUGCAGAAACGUCAUGAAGAACCUGUUGCGGCGGGUCAAGAACCUCCUUUUGGUAGUCGUUAUGCUCCAUCGUUAGUCCCGUGUGUUUCACGUCCACUUAGUACUACCGUUUUAGGCGGCACAAAUAAACCACAGGAUAAGGCUGGGUCAGCGGAACCUUCGUCUUCAUCGCCCAAGGAUGCUUAAAGUCUUUCUAGAUAAUAACCAUUGGAUGGCUUAACGUAGUGUAUCAUGUUGUUUGGAUAUAUAAUUUAAAUAUGUGUAUUUGUAUCUAUAUCUAAACUUUCAGCAUUAUUUGCACUACAACGUUUGACAUGCUUUCAAUCGUGAAUCCAUUUUCAAGUGUAAUCAAUUUUCAUGCGUAAUCAAUUUUCAGUGUAAUCCAUUUUCACGCGUAAUCCAUUUUCAAGUGUAAUCCAUUUUCAUGCGUAAUACGAUGCAGAUGGACCGGCAAUGAAUGUAUAAUGCAGACAGAUGGAGCGAGGUGUUUAUUGAUGGCUUGCAUUAUUUUCUCGAAGUGGCUAAAGCGAACAAGUCAGAGAAUGGGUUCGUAUGUUGUCCAUGUUUCCGAUGCAAUAACAAGGACUACGCAAAGGAUUCCUGGGAGACUAUUCACAGCCACUUGUUUAGAUACGGUUUCAUGCCUAACUAUUUGGUUUGGACCAAGCACGGUGAAAGAGGGGUUGUAAUGGAAGACGGCGAAGAGGAGGGGGAUGAUGACAACAUUCCGGACUAGGUUGCAGGCUAAGCUUUUGCAGAUACUACAAUGGACAAGGCUGAUGAAGAUGAGUUUGCAGAAAAUGGCCCUACUGAUGACCUUGGUCAGGUGCUACGAGAUGCACACAGAGAUUGCGAAACUGAGAAGGAAGCAGUAAAGUUGCAGCGCAUGAUAGAUGAUCACCAAAAAAUGUUAUACCCUGAUUGCUAGCAAGGCCAUAAAAAACUAGGUACGACACUAGAAUUUGUGCAAUGAAAGGCAAAAAAUGGUGUGUCCGAUAAGUCAUUUCAGGGGAUAUUGAACAUUGUUAAGAAGAUUCUUUCCGAGAAUAAUGAAUUAUCAUUCACAACAUAUGAAGCUAAACAGAUUAUUUGCCCUCUCAGAUUGCAGGUUCAGAAGAUACACGCAUGCCCUAAUGACUGUAUCCUCUAUCGUGGUGAUGAAUACGAGAAAAUGGAUGCUUGUCCCAUCUGCGAAGCGAUGCGGUAUAAGAUUAGGCGAGAUGAUCCUGAUGAUGUCGAGGGGUAGUCUCCCAAGAAGAGAGUUCCCGCGAAGGUGAUGUGGUAUUUCCCUAUAAUACCAUGCUUGAAGCGCUUGUUUUCAGAAACAAGGCGAAUGCUAAGUUGAUGCGAUGGAACAAAGAAAAACAUAUGGAAUAUGAGAUGCUGAGACACCCCGCAGAUGGGGCCCAGUGGAGAUCAAUUGAUAGAGCAUUCCCGAACUUUGAAAAUGAAGCAAGGAACAUAAGGUUUGGUUUAAGUACUGAUCGAUUCAAUCCAUUCGGUGAGUUGAGUAGUGACCAUAGUACUUGGCCUGUGACUCUAUGUACGUUCAACCUUCCUCCUUGGUUGUGCAUGAAGCGGAAGUUCAUUAUGAUGUCGGCGCUUAUCCAAGGCCUAAAACAACGACAUUGAUGAACUUUUACAGCUCUGGAAGGAAGAAGGUGUACGUGUGUGGGAUAAGGAUAAACAAGAGAUCUUUAAUCUACGAGCAUUGUUGUUCAUAACCAACAAUGAUUGACCUGCACUGAGUAACCUUUCGGGACAGACAAACAAGGGAUAUCGGGCCUACACCCACUGUUUAGAUGACAAAGACAUAAUAUAUUUGAAGUACUAUAAGAAGGUUAUCUAUAUGGGUGAUCGUAUCUGCUCACCACCAACUGAGAAAGAGUGGGAUGCAUUUUAAAGGGCCGACAGACCAUCGUAAAAAAUCUGCACACCGUAAUGGAAAGCGUGUCUUCAAGAUGAUAAAAGAUGUAAAUGUAGUCUUUGGAAAGGGUCAUGGUAGACAACAUGUUCCGAACAACGAUAACGGACGUGCACCCAUGUGGAAGAAAAAGUCCAUAUUUUGGGAGCUACCUUAUUGGAAAAUCUUAAAGGUUCGCAACGCAAUAGACGUGAUGCACCUGACGGAUAAUCUUUGCGUGAACAUGCUAGGCUUUAUGGGUGUUUAUGGGACCUCGAAAGAUACAAUGGAAACAUCCGAAAAAGAGAGAUAACGGACAGCACUACUUACGUCCUGCCAAUUACAAUCUCAGCAAGAAAGAGAAGGAUAGGAUGUUUGAAUGUUUGAAUAAUAUGAAGGUCCUGUCUAGGUACUCCUCGAAUAUAAAGAGAAUAAUCAAUAUGAAACAAAAGAAGUUUACAAAUCUCAAGGCUCAUGACUGCCACAUGUUGAUGACCUAGUUGCUUCCGGUUGCACUGAUUAUUGCUGGUGAUGGUAGUGGCUCCAACCUUGCCAUAUCAUACACCGAUGAAGAGGGCACCCAGGCAGACAUGUUCCUCAACAUGUCCAAUGAUGGGAAUGAAGAGCCCGAGCCCAAGCAAAACCUUGCCGUGGCGGAAGGUUUCGGCGAGGUAUAUAUAAUUUAUAUUAUUUUACGCUACCGUUAAUGCUAUGUACUAAUUAACGAAUCUUGAACUGUUAGCCCUCUGGAUCAACAAAAGGGUAGAAGACCCGAGGUCGUACAAGGGUGAUGGAAGGGAGGCUUGUCAUCACGGAAGUCACGGAAGAGGGCAUGCCGGUUGCUCCUGAAAAAGUAGCAAAGAAGUACAUAAGUCAGAUCGGGGCAAUCGUAAGGGACAACAUGCCUAUCAGCAUCAGGGAAUAGAAGGGCAAAAGCACUAAUCCAUACGCGCUCCCGGAGACACAAAAGAAUAUGCUGUGGGAAGAUGUCAAGAGACAUUUCACAUUUCCUGAAGGAUAUAUUGAAAAGGAUGUGAAAGCAUUGACGCUGAAGAAGAUGGCUAAACAAUUCUAGACAUUAAGAAGAUGCUGGAUGCCAACUACCUUAAGAAGGGUCGAACUCCAGAUUUCAAUGUGCGGCCAAAGUUGAGGGACCACUGGGAGGCAUUUGUUGAAUAUAAGAGGAGUGAAGACGGUGUGAAAAAGAUCCAGACCAACACUACAAAUUAUGGUCAGAAGGAGUACCAUCAUCAUCUAGGGCGAGGUGGUUAUGGCACAGCAAUUCCCAAAUGGAAGAAGAUGGAACAAGACCUGAUCGAACAGGGUAUGGUACUUGCAACUAUUGAUUGGCCCGAAUGAUCAAAAAAUUGGUAUUACGCUCAUGGAGGCUCCUUGAGCCAAGAGGAUGGGACAUUGAUUUCAAUGAGACAAUAUGUCAGAAGGCCGAAAGGCUUAUAAAGAACAUUGAACAUUCUAAGGCUACGAGGUUGAAGGUGGACUGAGAGAAUGAUGAGCUCACAUUGGCCCUCGGUAAUCCCGAGCACCCAGGACAUUUCCGAGGGUUCGGGGUCAUUCCGUGGAAGUUUGCAUUCCGAAGUGAUAGCGUAUCGUACAGAAGCCGCAAGUGAAGAAAAGAAUAUAUCGAGGAGAGCUAGCGGCAGAUGCUAGAAUCCAAAGUGUAGUCACAAGAAAAAAGAAUGUUGGAGGAAAGCAAUUGUCAAGUGGCCCACGCAGUUGCGGAGUUGGCCCAAUCUGGAGCAUUGUCGAAUCCAAACUACGCCAGCCCUUCUCAAUGCCUCUUGAGCAGUUGUGCUUCUACAGGGCUCCCCGAUGCGCAGACGCCCAGGUUACCCGUGGAGGAGCAACAGUUCACUAUGGAUGCCAUCACGCAAUGCACCUCAUGUGAGCUGCAUGCACCGGUCGGCAACCUCACUAUUAAGGUAUACUUAUACAUAAUAUUUAUGCAAUCUUCUCAAAUGAUCCACGCCUCGGGAUCGGAGUUUAAUAACUUGUUUACUUCGGCUAUAUGUACAGGUGGCGUACGGGAGUGCGUUACCAAUCCUAGCAGGGUAGACAAGCCAUGGAAUGGAGAUUCCACCUGGCUACGCCAGCGUCAGCGUAGAGCAGCUUGUUGAUAGCCAAUAUGAAGGCCUAGAGCUUGACCUUCCAGGAGGCGACGGGGAAAGGACACUGGCAGAUGCGUUUCAUGGGAUCAUUCUAUGGUGCAAACGCUACAUCAUUAUUCCCGACACGGAGCCAUCUCCUCAAAGCUCAAGACCGCUCCCCAUAAAUCCCCAACAACGACCUUCUCGUCAUAGCUCGAGACCAUCAUCUCCUGCACAACCUGCUCCAGGACUGUCGUUUCCUGCUCGAUUAAGGUCUCCAUCUCCACCACAUCCUGGUGGUGGGAGCGACAACAAAAAUAACAACACCCCUCCCCGAUCACCGUCGUCGGGACUAAGAGCAGCCCCGAUGAAGGAACUUGCAGCACCACUAAAGAAGUCACGAGCAUCGCCUCCCAAGCAAAGACAAAGAAAGAAAAAAAACAAAGGAGCCUGAAGUGACGCGUAAGGAACGCUGGGAGGCAAUGAGUCAUGCAAAACAAUGGGCAGAAAAAUCCAAGCAGAGGCUAAUGCGUGGUUCAAGAAACAAGCCGAAGAAAAAAAGCAAGGGAGAUGGAGCCACCGCCAGUAAAUCGAAGAGAUUUUAAUUUUUUUAUCAGAAUGGAAGAAGGAGCCAAGAAAAGGAUACCACUACUAUCAAACUACGAAUGGGCUUUAGUAAAGGCUGAUGAGAGGGACAAAAGGAAAGGAAAGUCAUCUUCCAGUGGUAUUGUUCCCGUCCUCGGGCAUCUAUCAAAAAAAGAUGCUCAAAAGAUAGCACCAAUGCCCUUGGAUCAACAAGCACAACUAUUGAAAUUCAUGGAAGAAACAGGUAUUGGACUUAAUGAAUGUUUAGGGCAAGUUGAGCCACCAACUGCACCGCCAGUUCAAUCGAGAUGGACUUUUGAGCAAGGAAAAUCUGAACGAAUUCCAUCAAUGGUACAUGAAGGUGUCCACCAACUCGAGGGAGAUGUUUGGCCGUAAGGUAAAACCAAUAGAUUUUUACGGCGAAGACGAGAAAGUUCUGUAGCUAGAUUUGAAGGAUAUAUACGAAGUGUACCAUCAUGAUGCCCUGGACGUCUCUCUGAUCAGUGCCUGGGUUCUGUAAGUGUCCGUUUAUCUACAUGUAAAUUUUGGCUCAUAUCAUUAUUUUUUUUGCAUGAGUCACCGUACUAACUUUGUCUUCCAUUUUAUCUAGGAUGCUAAUUCAGACGUGCUGACGAGAGGCGUACCUACAUAUUGGCUUCAUGGAUCCAUCCGUAGUUAUCCAAAAACAGAUACAAUUAUCACCGAAAAAAACCUCGGUGGAAGUAUAUAAUUUUCUAGACAAACAAAAAUUCAAGGAUUUUAUACUACUUCCAUACAACUUCAAGUAAGUGUGUGUAUACCUUCUACUUUCAUUUUCUUUUUCCUUACCUGAUUAAAGUUAGUUAGCUCUAAUAUGCAUGAACAUUUUACGUACGCAGCUUCCACUGGAUCCUCAUUAUAAUUGAGCCUGAAAGAAACCAUGUCACUGUCUUCGAUUCAUUGAGGAAAGAUCCGGUGGAGUACCAAGACAUGCAAGACAUGCUAGGCGUGUAAUAAUUUUGGACCUUUAUCUCUAUGCAAAAGUUUAUUUCCUAAAUUUUAUCCCUGUUACACUAUAUCAUUCAUUAUUCUAAUCCGCAGCGCAUGGAAACAAUUCAUAAGGACACACAAAGGUCCAUUCAAAGAAAAACUUACAUGGAACACAGACUUCUUAGUACGUAUGAAGUCUGCACAUUUAGUAUAUUGUAUAACACGAAUAUUUCAUAUCAUAUUUUUUUCCGCACUGAAGUGCUGAAGAUAGGAACCCGGGAAUAAUCUAUGUGGCUACUACAUCUGUGAGCACAUGCGCAGUUUUAUAGGACCCAAGGGACUAAAGAUGACGCCACACAACUUUAAAGUACGUAAAAUAAAACUAUUACUAGUUAAUUAUUUUCUAGCUCCUUAUAUUUAAUUGUUCGUGUAACAUUCACAUAUUUCCAAAUUAUAGAUGCUAAAUAUUCAACAAGGACUCUUGAAGAAAGAAGUAGCGGCAAUAUGUGAAGGUCUCAUUGGAUUCCUAAUGGACGAGGUGGUAAAUCCACAAGGAGAAUUUUAUUACAAUGGAAGACAUUUAGACACUUCGAGCAACACCUCGACGGGAAGAUUGUAGAUAUAUAGUUUGAUUUGUAUAUAUAAUACGCACUAAGAUCGAUUUGUAUAUAUAGUUGAUUUCAUUAUACUAGUUGACUUGUGUAUAUAUAUAGUAAUUGUAUAAUUACUAAUUUCAUUUGUUUAAAUACUAGUUGAUUUCAUUAAAAAAAGUCUCAACUACUAAAGGUUAACAAAAGGGCUGCGGUACGUACGUGAUGCAUGAAAAUUUCAGGCGCCAUGCAGGAAAAUUUAAGUAGGACUUUAGUCCCGGUUGGGAAACCCAACCGGGACUAAAACCAACUGGGAUUAAAGGGUGACUUUACUCCCGGUUGAAGGUUCCGGGACUAAAGACCCCCCUUUUGUCUCGAUUGGUUUAUCUGGGAUGGAUUUUCGGGAGAUAUGCACGCUAUCAACCGGAACUAAAAGCGAGUUCUCUAUUAAUGUUAGUACUCUCUGCAGGGUCAGGUACAGUACAGUGGGCCUAUAUAUAUAACCUAUCAGCCCAAAAAUACACAACAAUGGCCACAGCAAGCUACCCGGUCCCCUAUAGUGUUUUUUUAGCAUAUUUAGACCUCUCCUUCAACAAUCUCUGUGAUUAAUUGUUCAUAUACCAUUCACAUAUUUCCAAAUUAUAGAUGUUAAAUAUUCAACAAGGCCUCUUGAAGAAAGAAAGAGUAGCGGCAAUAUAUGAAGGUCUCAUUGGAUUCCUAAUGGACGAGGUGGUAGAUCCACAAGGAGAAUUUUAUUACAAUGGACGACAUUUAGACGCUCCGAGCAACACCUCGACGGGAAGAUUGUAGAUAUAUAGUUUGAUUUGUAUAUAUAAUACGCGCUAAGAUCGAUUUGUAUAUAUAGUUGAUUUCAUUAUACUAGUUGAAUUGUGUAUAUGAAUUGUGUAUAUAUAUAGUAAUUGUAUAAUUACUAAUUUCAUUUGUUUAAAUACUACUUGAUUUCAUUAUAAAAAAAGUCUCAACUACUGAAGGUUAACAAAAGGGCCGCGGUGCGUACAUGAUGCAGGAAAAUUUCAGGCGCCAUGCAGGAAAAUUUAAGUAGGACUUUAGUCCCGACUGGGGAACCCUUUAGUCCCGGUUGGGUUUCCCAAUCAGGAGUAAAGGGGCACCCUUUACACCCGGUUGCUUUUACUAACCGGGAGUAAAGGGCCUAUCCCGCGCCUAGCGUGGCAGGCCCUUUAGUCCCGGUUGUUUCACCAACCAGGACUAAAGGGUGACUUUACUCCCGGUUGAAGGACCCGGGACUAAAGAUCCCCCUUUUGUCUCGAUUGGUUUAUCCCGGAUGGAUUUUCGGUAGAUAUGCACCCUACCAACCGGGACUAAAGGCGAGUUAUGUACUAGUGUUAGUACUCUCUCCAGGGUCACGUACAGUACAGUGGGCCUAUAUAAAUAACCUAUCAGCCCAAAAAUACACAACAAUGGUCACUGCAAGCUACCCGGUCCCCUAUAGUGUUUUUUUAGCAUAUUUAGACCUCUCCUUCAACAAUCUCUGUGGUACUAUUCCUAACUUCCUGGCAAAUUUCACCGACUUGACGAACUUAAAUGUUUGCUUCAAACUUAUUGAAGGAAAGUGAAGGACCGGACAGGUGACCAGAGAUGGUGAAUGGGAACCUUUAAAAAUUCUCUCUCUCCAAGAACAAAGCCUAUAUCCCGAUUGCCACCCCAAACACACCUCGCUCCUAAUCGCUAAGAUGACACAAGUCAACUUGAGACAAGUUCACCAAGAAACGAUUAGAAAAGCUAAAAGCGUAGCAGAAGCAAAGACGAUUAAGCUUGGAAGAAACUACACUUAAAAAGCUUGCUUGCCAAAUCACUAAUCAACCAGGCAAGAAAUUAAAAAGCUAGGCUUACUAGUGAUAGCAGCGAAGAGCUAUAUGUCGGCACAAGCAUAUAUGUGCCCAUGCUAGUAAACUAGGCUUACUAGGCUUACUAGUGAUAGCAGCCAAAAGCUAUAUGUCAUGAAGAAUUGCUGUUCCAAGGGGACGCUCCACCCUUCUGCAUGCAUGCCGUGCCCAUGCCGCCAGCUGCUCGCGCUCCUCCUCGCAGCGAUUUGAGCCUAGCUCAGCUGGAAAGAUUGUUUGUGGUGGGACUAAAUUAUUGCAAUAUUUAAUCAAUACUAUCUUUUCAGCAAUAGAUGAUGUGCCCGUCGACAGUUUCGUAAAAAGAAAAUAUGUGAGUGCCUUGGUGUGAAGCGAAAACAUAUCAAAAACAUACCUUGAGAAGAGUAGGGUGAAACGAUGCAACAGCGGAGGUGUAAAUGGAAACUUUGUUCUACCUGUCUCACGUAAUUAGAAUAGUCGAAUGUUAAUGAAAUUGAUUACUGUCUCUAGUUUUGGAGAUGUCAUCUCCUCCUUUCUCCCUCCUCCUGCCCGCCCAUGCCGCCGGAUGCUCGCUCGUCCUCGCGCCACUGCUCGAUCAUCUUUGCAUCGUCCUUGUCCACUGCUCUUAGUCCACGACGACUUCCACGUCCUCGUCCGUCCCCAAGCUUAUAAAUUGAUUGUCCACCGGGCUACUUCAAUAAUUAAUAUUCCGAUGCAUGUUAGGUCUAUUAGUCUAUGUCCACGUCAGUCAUCACUCAUCACCACCCGUUUGAAUGUGGAUAAGGCACCAACUAA
RNAcentral lists this long non-coding RNA (11611 nucleotides) under Setaria italica (foxtail millet). RNAcentral describes it as "long non-coding RNA (SITA_LNC006333)". The record is from RNAcentral. Lineage: Eukaryota; Viridiplantae; Streptophyta; Magnoliopsida; Poales; Poaceae.